GACGAACGCUGGCGGCGUGCUUAACACAUGCAAGUCGAGCGGAGCGGCGAACGGGUGAGUCACGCGUGAGUAACUGCCCCCCUCUCUGGGAUAUCAGUUGGAAACGGCUGCUAAUACCGGAUAGUGGGGGAUGACUCGCGUCCUAUCAGCUUGUUGGUGGGGUAGUGGCCUACCAAGGCGACGACGGGUAGCCGGCCUGAGGGGGCGACAGACCACAUUGGGAUGAGAUAAGGCCCAAAAGCCUACGGGAGGCAGCAGGGGAGAAUAAUGGACACGGGGAGAAACCCUGAUGGAACGACGCCGCGUAAGGGAUGACGGCCGGCGGGUUGUAAACCGAUUUCAGCCAUGACGCGGUUGUGGAAGAAGAAGCGCCGGCUAAGUAUGUGCCAGCAGCCGCGGUAAUAC
This 405-nucleotide ribosomal RNA is filed under the name uncultured bacterium. RNAcentral's name for it is "partial 16S ribosomal RNA". It matches the Rfam family "Bacterial small subunit ribosomal RNA", at positions 28 to 526 of the family's 1533-position model. The record is from RNAcentral.